This 446-nucleotide ribosomal RNA is filed under the name uncultured bacterium. RNAcentral describes it as "bacterial SSU rRNA". It matches the Rfam family "Bacterial small subunit ribosomal RNA", at positions 330 to 792 of the family's 1533-position model. The record is from RNAcentral.
UCCAGACUCCUACGGGAGGCAGCAGUGGGGGAUAUUGCACAAUGGGGGAAACCCUGAUGCAGCGACGCCGCGUGAGUGAAGAAGUAUUUCGGUAUGUAAAGCUCUAUCAGCAGGGAAGAAAAAAGACGGUACCUGACUAAGAAGCCCCGGCUAACUACGUGCCAGCAGCCGCGGUAAUACGUAGGGGGCAAGCGUUAUCCGGAUUUACUGGGUGUAAAGGGAGCGUAGACGGCAAUACAAGUCGGAAGUGAAAUACCCGGGCUCAACCUGGGAACUGCUUUGGAAACUGUAUGGCUGGAGUGCUGGAGAGGUAAGCGGAAUUCCUAGUGUAGCGGUGAAAUGCGUAGAUAUUAGGAGGAACACCAGUGGCGAAGGCGGCUUACUGGACAGUAACUGACGUUGAGGCUCGAAAGCGUGGGGAGCAAACAGGAUUAGAUACCCCCGUA